UUCCUCUGUUCUACUCAAUAUGGCCGGC
This 28-nucleotide small RNA is filed under the name Bombyx mori (domestic silkworm). RNAcentral's name for it is "ovarian small RNA-37322". The record is from RNAcentral. Lineage: Eukaryota; Metazoa; Arthropoda; Insecta; Lepidoptera; Bombycidae.